RNAcentral lists this ribosomal RNA (400 nucleotides) under uncultured bacterium. RNAcentral's name for it is "bacterial SSU rRNA". It matches the Rfam family "Bacterial small subunit ribosomal RNA", at positions 356 to 773 of the family's 1533-position model. The record is from RNAcentral.
GGGGAAUAUUGGACAAUGGGGGAAACCCUGAUCCAGCAAUGCCGCGUGGGUGAUGAAGGCCUUCGGGUUGUAAAGCCCUUUCGGCGGGGACGAUGAUGACGGUACCCGCAGAAGAAGCCCCGGCUAACUUCGUGCCAGCAGCCGCGGUAAUACGAAGGGGGCUAGCGUUGUUCGGAAUUACUGGGCGUAAAGGGCGCGUAGGCGGCUCUGUGCGUCGUGCGUGAAAGGCCUGGGCUCAACCCAGGAAUGGCGCUCGAUACGACGGAGCUAGAGUGCAGGAGAGGAUGGUGGAAUUCCCAGUGUAGAGGUGAAAUUCGUAGAUAUUGGGAAGAACACCGGUGGCGAAGGCGGCCAUCUGGACUGCAACUGACGCUGAGGCGCGAAAGCGUGGGGAGCAAAC